UAUUUACAAUAGCCAAGACAUGGAAGCAACCUAGAUAUCCACUGGCAGAGGAAUGGAUAAAGAUGUGGUACAUAUAUACAAUGGAAUAUUACUCAGCCAUAAAAAGAAUAAAAUAAUGCCAUUUGCAGCAACAUGGAUGGACCUAGAGAUUAUCAUACUAAGUGAAGUAGGCCAGACAGAUAAAGACAAAUAUCAUAUAAUAUCGCUUAUAUGUGGAAUCUAAAAAAAAAAAAAAAAAAACAUAGAUACAAAUGAACCUAUUUACAAAACAGAAACAGACUCACAGACUUAGGAAACAAACUUAUAGUUACCAAAGGGGAAAAGUGUGUGUGUGGGGAUACAUUAGGAGUUUGGUAUUAACAGAUACACACUACUAUAUAUAAAACAGAUAAUCAACAAGGACCUACUGUAUAGCACAGGGAACUCUACUCAAUAUUCUGUAAUAACCUAAAUGGAAAAAUAAUCUGAAAAAGGAUAUAUGUAUAACUGAAUCACUUUGCUGUACACCUGAAACUAACACAACAUUCUAAAUCAACUAUACUCCAAUAUAAAAUAAUUUUUUAAAAAUAUUUGGAACAAUACACAGCCAAAAAGAAAAAGAGAGAGAGAAAGAAAGAAAAGGGACAAAUGUAGGGUAAGGAACUGGCCUCUUCCGUGCUUCCAUUGAAGUACCCUCUGUUACUUUCAUGGGUAGCCCAUUAGCCAGAACUAGUCAUGAGGACCUACCUACAUGCAAUAUAGGUCUGUUUAUAUACGUGUUAACUUGCCCCGCUUCCUUCUUAGUGUAUAUGUUUAAGUUUCUGAUCACAUAGCUCUAUUUACAAUUUUGCAUUUCAAAUGUGGGGCAGCAAAUGGAAUUUUCGCUGAGCACCACCGUCCCUGUUGCAGCAAAGGAUGAAGAUGUCAAGGGUUAGCUUCGGAUGUAGGAAAGCAAAAAAUAUAUAUAAAGAGAUUGAUUAGAAGCAAGACACUGUCCAGAAAAUAUGUGCAACAGCACAAGUGGGAGAUGAGAAGAAACCGAACUAGAAAUGGAGCAUAAGAAAAAUGAGAACGGUGCCUAUUCUUACCAUUAGAAAGUCUAUUCAACAACGCACUGAAAUUAGGAAGUUUGCUAAAUAAGCAGUACUCUAGUACAUCCUGACUUAUAUUUUUUUUUAAUGCAGAUCUCUAGAGAUACAGAUUUUUAUCCCGUGAAGCAAAUGCCCAUUUUCUGAAAUGACUGAAUGUCAAAACAGAACAUUUCAUAUUAAUGGCAUGAAGUGAGAGCACUGAAUGACUUCAUGCCAUUAAUAUGAAAUGAAAGUCAGAAUUGAAAGUUUGAGAAUCUAGCCUCUAAGAAAAACAGUGCAGCGUUUGUAAUAUAUAAAAGCUUUUUGCUCUGUGGGAAACAGUUACUAGCGAGGGCAGUCUGAAAACAUACUGUUUGGAGAUUUGGGAGUCGCAGUCCUUGAAGGGAAGAUUUACUCUGGUCAAUUUUACAAUUUAUGCAUUUUUGGUGGUUGUGAUGUAUGAGUCACAAGGGUAAUAAACUUCUAAUAGGUUGAAGUAAAGUUAAGCAUUUCCCAGCAUUUCUAUUAAUUAUCUGUGAAAGAGAAAAAAGAAAAUUAAUGCAGAGACAUAAGCUGGUCUUUGAACAAAGAGGGAUAUGUUUUAUUAUGAUGGUUUUGGCUACAGUCCUUUUCAAAAUGGGCAAAGGACCAAGAAAUAUUUAAGCAGAUUAAAAUUAUAAAUAGAGCAAUGUGAUCAGUAACUUAAAUGUUAUAUACACUAAGAAGGAAGGGUAGCAAGUUAAAAUGUAAAUAAACAGAGCCAGAAUAAGAUCCAGAAAACGUCUAGCUAACCGUAAGUACUGAAAAGGCUUCUCUAAAUAGGAGAAUUUAUAUUCUGUUAACAGCUAGAAAAUGCAUUUGUUUCACAAUUUUUUCAAAAGAAAUACAAGUCCCAGUAAUUUAAAAAGUAUUCUUAAUUUCCAUAUGCUUACGUACAGAAAAACAAAACUAGAGCUUAGAAAAUAAUCAUUGUGUAUUCACUGUAGCAUUCUUUGAAACAAUGAAACAUAGCAAUAGUUGAAAUGUAUAUUAACUGGAAAUGGAUAAAUAUUAUAUAACAUAUCCGUAUGAUAGAAUAUUUGGCAUCAGUUAAAUAAAAUCAAUAGAUCUAUCUAUUACCAAAUAUCAACAUGCACUAGAGGUAUCAGUAGAAGUGAAGAGACCUCAUUUCACUCAAGCAGAUCAUAGUAUAGGAAAUAGAAAAUUAAGUUUAUGGCUACAGUAUGGCAUCAGUCAUAGAAGUACGUCAGGGAUGUGUGGUGGUAGCACAUGAGAGCAUGAGGACAAGACACAGGAAAGAUAAUUAUAGGGAUAUAGUGAGUUGAGUCUUGAAAUGUGAAUAUGGGUGUAUUGAACACCUCUUGUAUAAAACUUUAUAUGCUCUCUUUUUCCAGCCCCUGCUGGGUGACAAGCCUAUCCCAGGUAAAAUCGGAGAGCACCUUGCUCAGGCCUCCGCUACAAAAUUUUUUUUCCUGCCCUUUGUUUAUCAGCAACCCCAGCACCUUCUCUGACUCCUUCAGGUGUGUUGCUGCCAUAAAUCUGCAUGGCACUCCCACACGAGCCACUCAAAAGGACCGUAAGUAAUGCACGUGGGCCAUACUUGACUAAUGGAAGCUGGGAGACAACUGAUAAAUGCUUCUCCUUUCUGUCUGUUAUGAGAACAGACACAGAUGAGCAAAGGAGAAAAAACAGUACAUCCAAAGAGCUGCAAAUCAUUCACUUUUCUUGAAUCUAGAAUACGAUAAAAGUGUGAUAAGAGACUCAUUCAAGUGCCUGAUCAUGAAGAGCCUUGUGUAGCAUACAACAAAACUAGGAGUCUAUCUCAUCAGCAUGGGAUUACUACUGAAUGGUUGAAAUCUGUGUGACAAUAUGAAAUGUCAAUUUUUUUAAAUUCUUUUAGUUAUGUGGAGGUGAAUUUGAAAGUAACAUCACCAAAGAUAAGAGACAAGUUAGAUACAAUUCUUGAUCCAGAAAUGAAAUCAUUAAAACGUAAAAAAAAAACCCUCAAAUCUACAGCUAUUAUUGGAUCCAAAAAAAACAAAAAAGACAGUUCUUAGUACUUAUGACAUUAAGGAUAAAGGAAAAAUUUAUCGCUGCUGUUUUUGUUUCCUGAAAGAUGCCAUAAACUCAUCUGGGAAGAUCCACUUUCGUUAGGAGAUACAAACACAUUUACACAUACAUACACACAUACAUUUGCAAGUUUGAGUUAGAGGUAACCAUGGCUACUCUGGUUAAGAUUGCAAGUAGGCUGACACAAAUAACAUGGAGUUGGACUGCAGAAGAGAAGUCUGCUUUGGAAAUAUGAGUUAAAGCAUUUUUGUUGUGUUUCACUAUCAACAGGCAGUUUGACUAGAUGGAAUUGACUCCUGCAAAGAAUAUGUAAAGGGAGAAGAGGAGCCUGACAUGGGGAAAAAGAUGGAGAUUUCCUACUAGGAAACACACAGAAAUGCAAACACCGAGAUGAAAGAAGGUGAUAACUAUUGAAGAAACAAGAAGACCAUGUGAAGGUGACUCUGGGACCUAGACAGAGGAAGUACAGGAGGAAGGUGAUACUUUUUCUACCUCGCAGGUUGACUGGGGACAGCAGGCAGAACACAAUGAGGAGAAGCACCAAUCUGACCCGAGUGGGAAGAUGUUGCAGGGAGGAAGCAAGAGGAGAAAUUCCUGG
This is a long non-coding RNA of Orcinus orca (killer whale), 3717 nucleotides long. RefSeq lists it as uncharacterized. Lineage: Eukaryota; Metazoa; Chordata; Mammalia; Artiodactyla; Delphinidae. The transcript is spliced from 4 exons. The record is from RefSeq and is a predicted model, not a curated record.